GAUGAAGAACGUAGCGAAAUGCGAUAAGUAGUGUGAAUUGCAGAAUUCAGGGAAUCAUCGAAUCUUUGAACGCACAUUGCGCCUCCUGGUAUUCCGGGAGGCAUGCCUGUUCGAGCGUCAUCAAAAACCUCAACCCAUGAUUUAUUGUGAGUUGGUUCUGCAUUGGACUCCUUGUGGGUCCUUUGCGAAAUCCAAUGGCGAAGAGCCACGCAACCAAAGCGUAGUAUAACUAUUUCGUUAUGGAAGCGUGGGUGCCUCUGCCGUAACCCCCAAUUUCUAGUUUUUGACCUCGGAUCAGGUAGGGAUACCCGCUGAACUUAAGCAUAUCAAUAAGCGGAGGA
Molecule: unclassified non-coding RNA, 341 nt
Filed under: soil metagenome
Description: partial contains 5.8S ribosomal RNA, internal transcribed spacer 2, and large subunit ribosomal RNA
Rfam family: 5.8S ribosomal RNA (bases 1-120)
Source: RNAcentral